RNAcentral lists this ribosomal RNA (253 nucleotides) under uncultured bacterium. RNAcentral's name for it is "partial 16S ribosomal RNA". It matches the Rfam family "Bacterial small subunit ribosomal RNA", at positions 524 to 776 of the family's 1533-position model. The record is from RNAcentral.
GACGAACCGUGCAAACGUUGUUCGGAAUCACUGGGCUUAAAGGGCGCGUAGGCGGGCAAGCAAGUCCGGGGUGAAAUCUUUCGGCUCAACCGGAAAAGUGCCUUGGAUACUGCUUGUCUGGAGGGAGGUAGGGGCAUGCGGAACUUCUGGUGGAGCGGUGAAAUGCGUUGAUAUCAGAAGGAACGCCGGUGGCGAAAGCGGCGUGCUGGAACUCUUCUGACGCUGAGGCGCGAAAGCUAGGGGAGCAAACGGG